Molecule: non-coding RNA, 26 nt
Filed under: Homo sapiens (human)
Lineage: Eukaryota; Metazoa; Chordata; Mammalia; Primates; Hominidae
Source: RNAcentral
UACCCUCAAUCAGUCGGCAAUGAUGG